Long non-coding RNA from Ficedula albicollis (Collared flycatcher), 3702 nucleotides. Lineage: Eukaryota; Metazoa; Chordata; Aves; Passeriformes; Muscicapidae. The record is from Ensembl.
CUUUCUUUAUGCUGCCUGUUUCAUCUCAUGUUUAAGUCUGGAAAGUGGCAACUCUAUUGGAAUGACUGGAGAAACUCUACUUGAAGUCAAUAGACAAAAAGGACAGGUGAACUCAGCAUCAUGAUAUCACUGGUGAAGAUUUAAUGAAAAGAAUAAAAGGCAGGCAAUUUCUUUUUUCACAUGUCUCUGAUGCCAAGAAGAUGGAUAAAUAAUAGUAAGACAGGCAAUAAGGCAUUGCAAACAAUCAGAGGAGAUCCGCAAGCACUGAAGCAGCAGCCCACACAAAACUAAAGUUAUAAAAAUAAACCUUGCAUUUUCAGUUAAAAAAAAACCAGAGAGAAAAUAAGAAAAAAUUAUUAGAAAAGGAAAAGUAACUUUUCCCUCUUUCUCGGCAUCUUUGGAUAGGCACCAGAUGACUGUCCAUACUCCUCACUGUGCUCAUGUCUGUAUUCAUCAAUAUGGUUUUAUGGAUAUUUUCUGUCUUAUCCUUUUCAACAUUUCAAGAAGUUGUUAAGCCUGCUUUCUCUGAAGAUGAGUAGGAAGAAGCGGCUGUCAGAAAGGACUCUCUGAACUCCCUGCAGCAACCCUGCUUCACAUUCAGCCCACACACCAGGCCCAGCUCUAUCAGAGUUCUGGCUCAUUUUGUCAGGGCUGAUGCAUCUGCUCAGAACUUCCUUCCCGCUAAUGAGCCUCUCUUUAAUUGAUCUUCAGAGUACAUAUUUCUUCAGACCCGAUCAUCUACGAGCUAAAGAUGCUGUCAAUACUGUUGCAUGGCAAUUGCCAUUGCAGAGACAAGUCGCCUUGUACUAUCUUCGCUGAACCCUCUGCUCUUUACAUAUGCUGCUGAAAACAUGGCAACUGGAGAAGCUGUGAAACCUGCGGCAUGGCAUUUCCAAACCUCCACCAAGGAAAUAAACGGUAUUUUUCAUUUUUAUGUUAUGCUUGGUUACCUUUUCUGUUAUCUUGCCAGUGACUGAGGAAAAAUGUUCGCAGAAUCUGAGCAUGAGCCAUAAACAACUUUUGUGGUUAUCCAACGCCUCUGUGUUUGCUUUGCUAUUUAAUUAAGGAUUCAUGAAGGGUGUUUAUUGUUUGUAUCUGUUGCUGCUGUGAACAAUGUCUACUCUUCUGAUCACCACAAAUGCAGUUAUGUGUAUGCUUGUCAGUGACAUGUUUUGUCAUCUUACUGAGCAUACCCAGUUGCUGCAGGGGGAUCUGAUGCUGCAGCUUGGCGUGUCCCUGAAAUAGCCAGAUACCAUAAGGGCAGUUCCUCACCAGGUUGCCACUGUGAAAUGGAUACUAGCUGAAUGCUGAAACCAGUUUUUUGAUGUGUCUGAGAAUAUUUUUCUUAUUACAAAAUAUUUUCUUUUUCUUCUUUGAUAUGAUAUUAUUACAUAUUCUUAUUACAAAACAAGUUUUCACAAAACAUGUAAAAGAUCAUAUUUUAUACCGUGAUGAUCUCAAACACAUGUGUAGAGGGCAAAUUAACUAAAUCUCUAAGUAACAAGAAAAAUGCAUUGGCAGCAUCAUUAGCCAACCACUUUCCUAUUCCUCAAAUGCUUAGUUUUAGUGAAUGCAGUAGAUUUUGUUUCCAAGCACCUUAUAUCACAGUACUUACAAUUUUUUCAGUUUUGGCUUGUCCUAUUUAACUUUAGCCACAUUGGAAUGAUAAUCUGCAUCUUGUUAUAAGUAGUCAUUUUUGGUCAUCUAGAACCCAUCAACUAUACUAAUAUACUAAUGAAAGCAGCCACAUUGUGCCCAUUCUCAAUAAUGCAGCUUUGGAACUCUGCCAGUCAAGUAAAAAAAUUUUGUCUUUUUCCUUCUGCACUCGGACUGGAAGCAGUUAUUUUUACUCUUAAUCUACUUUUUUUUUUUCAUAAGAUGGUACAACACUAGGUACACAAUUAGCAAAUUGCUCACUCUGUUCUGCAGGUUUAAUAAGACAAGCUAUGGCUGCAACCAAAAUAAUCUAUUUGCUCACCUUUCUGUCUAUUCAAACCUAUGAAAAACAGCUGACUGAACUCUCUGGAAACCAGAAUUAAGAGGAUAAUCUUGUCCCCUACACAAUGUCCUACUUGCUGUCUCCUUGUAUCCCAAGAAACAAUAUGUGUACUUUACAAGAAGAUCGUUAAAGUGAUAGCAAUCACAACAUAAAUCCACAUUAGGGCAAUCAAGGUGCCCUUACCAAAGUAUGUCUAGAGGGGAUCAUCAAAAAAUUUUCCUUUGGGAGUAUGCUUUCAUUUGGCCCAAUGGGAGGAAUUUUACUGUUGGGCGGGUACUUUGAAUUCCACCUACCAUCAUGUUAAGAAUAAACAAUAAGCCUCAAACCAAUAUAAGUACGUCUUGUCUGUAUGGCAGCAGAGGCUGAUUACUCUGAGCAGAGUGUAGGUGGUCCCUGCAUGAUGGAAAUCUGACUGAGGGGCACCUGUUUAAAUGGGUAGGCUGCUGAUGAAGGUUUCUAGAUGCUGGAUGUGAGAUAACUUGAGCCAGCUUUUUUACAGUCAGCACUGACUCCAAAAAAUCAAUACGCAAUGCUUUCUUCUGCUUUAAUAAAACAUGUAUGUAAAGCUUGGAGACUAGAUUAUAUUUUCAAAGCCGUAAACUAUGCUGUCUGCUCACAAAUUACUUUGGAGAAACUUGUAAAGUAUCCUUUGAUCAUCUGUAGGCUCAAAUAAAAACAAAAAGGUUUCAAAUUGAAUUGUUGUCACUUGCAUGUCUAUCUAUACAGCUGCACCUUAACUUCUCUAGGAAACUCACAAAACAUGAAUUAUGCAUCUUAAAAUGCUACAAAGGCAUAAUAUAAGCUUAGCUGCUUGUCUGAAUUAUUCUGUUCAGACAUCUACGACUAUAUAGAGAGUCUGAAAAAAAGAUAUUAGGUCUGACAGUGUCAUACUAUCACCACAGACAUCAAAGGACUUUUUCUUACGCAAGAGUUGACAAAAUGUGUUUCUUCUAAUGAAUAAGAAUUGGGUAAAACAUGAGAUCAUAAAUGUUUCAUUAAAAUACAGUAAAAUUCUUCCAACCAUGAGCAAAGUGCUGGUUUAAUUAUUUUUUAAACUGAAAAUGAAUAAACCUAUGUGGAAUCUCCACAACAUAAACUGAAGAGUGAUGAUGGCACACUAUGCCAUUUUGUCAUCAAAAGAAAGUCUUAAUAUGUGAUUUAAUAACCCUCAAGAGCAGGCAUCUUUUAGUGCCUGUCAUUUCCCAAUUCAAGAGAGGAGGAAAUAAUUCUCUGUAUGUGCACACAGACCUCCUACAGACCCUCAAUGUAUAGGCUACUGUGAUUAAUCAAAAGUUUGAAAUUAAACUAAAAAAGGUCCUUUUCUUCAAUUAUGAUUAAACAUAAAAGCAAGCAGACUAUAUUUUUUAGUAGAAUGUCCAAGUCUCAAGAGUUACCAAGCAGUACUGAGAGUGUCCAGUUUUGCUUUGGAGGUUUUAAGGAAGGAAGGAAUGGAGGAAGGAAUAAAACAAAUAAUCCCAUCAGGCAAGGGGAUAGUAAACUGUAACUAAGUGGUGUUUCAUACACUGCCAUGACAAUCAAGUUAUUGAAAAGCAGUAACACAAAGAGAAGAUGGAAGAUUUAAUUUUUUCUUCACACAAGUAAAUUACUGAGGUCCCCUCUCUUCCCGUUUAAUUUUUUCUUCACACAAGUAAAUUACUGCAUCUUGUGAGGUCCCCUCUCUUCCCAUUCACUUCUGAAAGGAU